AAUGGUUUGUGGUGGCUAUGCGGUCUAGCAUAGUUCUGUUUUGGAUCCUUCAAUGUCAUUCCUAUCAUUAUGAGGCAGAAUUCUCCAAAGUGUAGGAUUUUUCACCCACUAAUAGGAAACGUGAGCUGGGAUUAGACCAUCCUGACAUUAGGUU
Molecule: ribosomal RNA, 154 nt
Organism: Lepisosteus oculatus (spotted gar)
Lineage: Eukaryota; Metazoa; Chordata; Actinopteri; Semionotiformes; Lepisosteidae
Rfam family: Eukaryotic large subunit ribosomal RNA
Source: Rfam